Molecule: transfer RNA, 76 nt
Filed under: Candidatus Beckwithbacteria bacterium RIFCSPHIGHO2_12_FULL_47_17
Lineage: Bacteria; Candidatus Beckwithiibacteriota
Also listed under: 1 other name
Description: tRNA-Trp
Rfam family: tRNA
About the family: Transfer RNA (tRNA) molecules are approximately 80 nucleotides in length. Their secondary structure includes four short double-helical elements and three loops (D, anti-codon, and T loops).
Source: RNAcentral
AGGGGUGUAGCUCAGCUGGCAGAGCGUCCGUCUCCAAAACGGAAGGCCAUAGGUUCGAAACCUAUCACCCCUGCCA